GGGUGCGAUCAUACCAGCACUAAAGCAUCGGAUACCAUCAAAACUCUGUAGUUAAGCGUGCUUGGGCAAGAGUAGUACUAGGAUAGGUGACCUCCUGGGAAGUACCUGUGUUUUACCCC
RNAcentral lists this ribosomal RNA (119 nucleotides) under Cephalotus follicularis. Lineage: Eukaryota; Viridiplantae; Streptophyta; Magnoliopsida; Oxalidales; Cephalotaceae. The record is from RNAcentral.